CAGGCCUAACACAUGCAAGUCGAGCGGUAACAGGGAUAGCUUGCUAUCUGCUGACGAGCGGCGGACGGGUGCGUAACGCGUAGGAAUUUGCCCGAUAGUGGGGGAUAGCCCGGAGAAAUUCGGAUUAAUACCGCAUACCUUCUACGGAAGAAAGCAGGGGAUCUUCGGACCUUGCGCUAUCGGAUGAGCCUGCGUCGGAUUAGCUAGUUGGUAGGGUAAAUGCCUACCAAGGCGACGAUCCGUAGCUGGUCUGAGAGGAUGAUCAGCCACACUAGGACUGAGACACGGCCCAGACUCCUACGGGAGGCAGCAGUGGGGAAUAUUGCACAAUGGGCGCAAGCCUGAUGCAGCCAUGCCGCGUGUGUGAAGAAGGCCCUAGGGUUGUAAAGCACUUUCAGCGAGGAGGAAGGGUAUCUUGCUAAUAUCAAGGUACAUUGACGUUACUCGCAGAAGAAGCACCGGCUAACUCCGUGCCAGCAGCCGCGGUAAUACGGAGGGUGCAAGCGUUAAUCGGAAUUACUGGGCGUAAAGCGUGCGUAGGCGGUUAAAUAAGUUGGAUGUGAAAGCCCUGGGCUCAACCUAGGAACUGCACCCAAAACUGUUUAACUAGAGUACGAGAGAGGAGUGUGGAAUUUCCUGUGUAGCGGUGGAAUGCGUAGAUAUAGGAAGGAACACCAGUGGCGAAGGCGGCACUCUGGCUCGAUACUGACGCUGAGGUACGAAAGCAUGGGUAGCAAACAGGAUUAGAUA
Molecule: ribosomal RNA, 750 nt
Filed under: uncultured bacterium
Lineage: Bacteria
Description: bacterial SSU rRNA
Rfam family: Bacterial small subunit ribosomal RNA
Source: RNAcentral